Molecule: long non-coding RNA, 19746 nt
Filed under: Musa acuminata (dwarf banana)
Lineage: Eukaryota; Viridiplantae; Streptophyta; Magnoliopsida; Zingiberales; Musaceae
Description: long non-coding RNA (MACU_LNC004388)
Source: RNAcentral
UUUUCACAGGUUCAGGAGAUAACCUUUACACCCCUCAACGUAACCCUUACACACCUCCCUUAGAACAACCUCUAAGCUCAAGGAGGAGGAAACUCAAUCUUUUCAACACAUUUACAACUUAGAAUUCUUUCCCCUUUCUACUUAAUUCUUUUAUCUCCAUGCAGGAAUAGCUGAGGUAUUCAUAUACCCCAAAUGACUUAAAAAAGGAGCCAAAAAAGGUCUCAUCUCGGGUUUCCCGGGUCCUGACGGUGCCAUCGUUUGUGCUAGGCGGUACUAUCGCCUACAACACUGACACUAGGCGGUACCAUCGCCCGGACUGACGAUACCACCACUUGACACAGUUUGGGAGAUUGUGUCUGAGUGGUACCAUCGCUUGACACUAAGCGGUACCACCGUCCAAUCUGGUGGUGCUACCGCUUGACAUAGUCUCAGAGACUGUGUCUUGAAGACUAAGCCUCUAGCGGUGCCACCACUUGACCUAACUUUUGGAUCAUUGAAUGGACCUUUCUCUUGGCCCAAAACAACCCCAUUUUGGGCCCAAUUGGUCCAUAAUUGAGUUGGCCUAAUUACAUUCUAAACCAACCCAAUUAGAAUUAAAAAUACUUCGAUCUAGACAAUUAUUACAAAGUAUUAAUCAUAUGUUGUCCGAUAUGCCAUUGGUUUAUUCGGCGCUUCAUCCGAUCCUUCGACGCAUCGUCCUCUCCUUUAACGUAUUGCCUAAUCGACAUGUUGUCUUCCCGCAACAUUCGAUCUCAUUGGCGCAAUGUUCGAUCUUCUUGGCCCGAUGCUCGAACUCAUGACACGAAACCUUCUGUCGACACGUUGAUCGAUCGUCCAACCCAACAUCCAAUCUCUUGACAUGUUCCACUUCGGCCUAACAUUGAUUCUUCCUACUUUAAUUGUCUCUUCAUGAUCGAAGCUAGUCCUGUAUCACUCAAAAUGCAGAUUAUAUUAUAAAUGUUAUCAAUUGGUUUUGAUCAUCAAAAUUCGAGAUUCAACAAUUCCUUGAUCCUAUAAUGGCUUCGGGAUGAUGAUGUUUGAAGAAGAGAACUUUGGUGAGAUUUUAGAUGGUCAAAGGAGUAUCUUAAAUUACAUUGGUGAUAUUUCCCCCUAAUUUCUUUGGAGAAAUAAAUAGUAACCAAUUAAGAGUUUAGAGAAACUUCCCUUGGCCAAUACAAGGAGUGCAUCAGGUGCCAAGGCCUUAAACCGGCCAAAAUAGGAAAUAUUUUCUAAUAUAAUUCCAUUAGGAUUUGAACUAGCCAAACCUCAAGUUGUUGCAUUAGCCUUAGAUUAUCACACUGAAGAAUCCAACUAGGGCAUAAGGGUACUUCAACGAGAGAAUAUUUUAAAUAUUUUAAAUAUUUUUAUUUUAUAUACUAUUAAAAUUGAGACUAAGUUGAAUUGAACUAGGAGAAGAAAAAGAGAAGGGAGUUAGUAAUCGAUAAAAAUACAAGUGUAUAAACUUUUGGAUGCUCUUGAACCAUUCUCACUUUUUAAAUUAAUAAAUUAUGAUCUCCUUCAAACUAAAACACUUACUAAAGGUGACAUUUUGACAUCAUGACAAAUCUCAUAUUUUUAUCAUUCAUUUAAAUUAUGCUUUAAAAUUUUGGCCAUUGGUUUUAUUUAGCAAGAGUAGAUUUUGACACACCUAAUGUAUAGUGAUAACUAUACAGUCCUUACUUUUGAGGUGCAAAUCAAUCUCAAAUCUGAUAUGGUUGUCAAGGUUUAUUGUUUUGCAUUAACCAAGUGCAUUGGUCCAGCAAUAUUUCUUGUCUAGUAUACCUUGUGUCAAUACUAGCAUGUACUGGUAAUUUAAAUAGUCAACUAAAAUCAGUUGAAGUAAGAAAAACAAAAUCAUAUUUCAAGGUCAGUUAUUCUCAUUUCUUGGUAUAUAAAAUUAAAUAAGAGUAAAUAAUAUCUAAACCAUAAAUGAACAAAAAAUAAAAAUUAUAAUUCUUAUUUUUUGGAUUUUUCAAGGAAGAACUUUAUACCAGACAAGCAUCUUCGUUGCCCAAUCUUAAUCACAUACAAAAAAAAAGAGUUGAAGAUUUGAAUUAGGCAUCGAAACUUUAAGAUCCAAGUAAAAUAAACUAAUCCCAAUAGUUUAUUUUGCUUGAAUAUAUACAUGUUUCUAUAAUAUAUAUAUAUAUAUAUAUAUAUAUAUAUAUAUAUAUAUAUAUAUAUAUAUACCACGGUAAGUGGUAGAGUUGAGAUGGCAACAUUAAUAUAUACAUAACCUCUUGAAAAAAAAGUUUGAUUAAUUUUGUAGCAUAAGAAACGUUACAAAGUUAUACUAUGAGACAAGGUUUGUCGUACCAAAUAGUACCACUCAGUAUGAGUGAUAUAUACCAAUUCGAUAAGGGAUUGGUACGCUCGAUACCGCUUGAUACGUAUGGUACAUAAUGGUCCGAUAAGGGAUUGAUACAUAGACCGUCCUUCACCGGGCAGUCCCAUUAUAUGACCCGUAUCGGGCAAAUACAAGAUUUGUACAUAUCGAUAACAGAUGGAUUUUGACCAUUAUCGUUUCAGGACUCGGAUUGCCAUAUUUCAAAUGAUCAAUUUAAUCGUUGAAUUAUAGGAAAGAAUUUUUAAACCCUUUCAUCCAUCACAUCAUCCGCCCAGGGUGCAAAGGUAAAGGCAAAGAGGAAGGCAAUAACAUCAAUUCUCUUCUUAAUUGGAGAACAUCCAAGGGAGUGCCUAUGCUAUGAAGGAAGAGUUGCUGGGGUUAUCCCAAGAGCUAGACUUGGGUGAAGGCUCUAAAUUCUGAGUAUAAAUUAUCCAUAGGUUUCAAGAAGGGUUUGAAAAGGUUGGGGUUGGCCUCUUAUAAAUUUGGGUACUUGAUUACUUUAACGUGUUUUAAAGCGAGAUACCUUGGAUUGGAGCUUGAGGAGGAUCCGUUUAUUGACUGCCCUAAGGAUCGAGACGUUUAAAUGGCUUUCCAUUUUAUGGAUAAAACUUUUUAAGUUUGGAGAUAUGCCAUGUUCUUAGUAAUGUUCUUCCUUCUAUUGUACCGAGGCAACAUGUUCCGUCUCAGAUGACUUCGAUGACCCGAUAGGGCCCUUCCCAGUUCGAUGCUAACUUUCCUCGAGAUCAAGUGGGGUCAUAGAUCUCGGCUUUGGGUAGCACCUAGUCCCCUAGUCGAAUGCCUUGAGGGCGAACACCUUGAUCGUUGAGCUUGGUCAUCGCCUUCUUAUAUCUCAAAAUCCAUAGAUGUGCAACGGCUCUAACCUCAUUCAUCAGAUUGAGCCUGGCUCGAAGUCUAGCUUCGGAAGUUUAUUGGUCAAAAUUUUUGACACAAAGCAUUGGGAAGAUUACCUCGGGUGGUAAGUACCAUAGGCUAGACUGAAGGGUGAUUCUCUUGAAUAUGUCUCUGGUGUCAUUCGGGCUUUAUAUCUUCCCUCUAUUUGACUCACGACUAGCUGAGAGCCAUUGAACACCGUUAAUUCUUGAACUUGGAGUUCUAGUGUGAGCCGGAAUCUCGAGAGAAGUGCUUCAUAUUUGGCCUCGUUAUUAGAGAUCUUGAUCCGGAAUUUGAGGGCCUGUUCAAAUGUCUGUUAGUCCGGGCCCUUUAGAACGACCCCAGCGUCGCCUCUAUGGGAGGUGGUAGAACCAUCAACGAAUAAUGUCCAGGCUAUGGGAGCAAGGCUAUCCUUAGGUGGGCAAGUUAGCUCCGAGAUGAAGUUUACCAGGGCUUAGGCUUUUAUGGCAGUUCUUGGCACGUAUUGAAUGUCGAAUUUAUUGAGUUAUAUGAACCAUUUGAGUAACCUCCCUGCAACAUUGAAUCGGGAUAAAAACCUAUCGAAGCGGUUGGUCGGUGACGACUUAUAUAACAUGCGCUUGGAAGUAAAGACGAAGCUUUCUUGCUGUAAACACUAAUACAAGUGCCAUUCGUUCAAUCGGAGGGUACCGUUCUUCGGGUCCAUUCAAGAUGUGGUUGACAUAUGGGCUUUUGUCCUCCCGUACUGUCUUGAACUAAGGCGGAGCUGACAACCAGGUCAGUAGUGACCUCCCUGCAACGUCAAAUUGGGAUGAAAACCUAUCAAAGCGGUUGGUCGGUGAUGACAUGUAUAACAUGCGCUUGGAAGUAAAGAUGAUUGGUACUUUAGUUUUUCGAUAGUCUCCUGGCAUUCCCGAGUCCACAGGAAACCUUUUGAUUUUUUAGGAGCUCAGAAGAAAGGUUGGCACUUGUCUUCGGCUCGAGAUAAGAAUCGGCUCAAAGCUACCAUUCGUCCCGUCGGCCAUUGGAUAUCUUUUAUCAUUGAGGUGGACGCAUUUUUAAUAUGGAUUGUACUUUUUUAGGAUGUAUGUCUAUCCCUCUCUAAUGAAUGACAAAUCUGAAACAAAAUUUCGAGUGUACUUCGAAAGCAUGUUUGGUUGGAUUAAGAUGCAUGUUGUAUCUCUUGAGGAUUGGAAAGGUCUUUGCCAAGUCAACUAGGUGCGAAUCAGUUGUUUUGCUUUUGACUAUCGUGUCAUCCAUAUAUGCUUUGAUAUUCCUCCUGAUCUGGUGCUUAAAGAUUUUGUUUACCAUCCUUUGGUACGUUGCUCCCGUGUUCUUCAAACUAAAUGGCAUGACUUGGUAGUAAUAUAUCUCUCGAUCAAUGGUGAAAGAGGUGUGCUCUUAAUCAAUGGUGCCAUCCUUAUCUGGUUGUAUCUCGAGAAUGCAUCCAUGAAGGUGAGGAGCUCAUGACCCAAGGUGGUGUCCACCAAUUGAUCCACUCAAUGGAGUGGAUAUCUUUUGGACAUACUUUGUUGAGAUCGAUGUAGUCAAUGCACAUCUUUCAUUUUCCAUUAGACUUCUUAAUAAGUACAAUAUUGGCGAGCUACUACGAGUAUUGUACGUCAGCAAUGAACCCUUCUCCCAGUAGUUUAUAGAUUUCAUUACUGAUAACUUGUUAUCAUUCAAGGGCGAAAUUUCGAGGCCUUUGCUUGAUUGGUCGAACUUUGGCAUUCUCUUAGAGAAAGCUGAUGAAUUGCACUUUCUUCUCAUCUGGUAACAUUGAGCUUGUCUUGAUGACCCAAUAGAGUUCCGUUGGUUUGUGGUGCGAAAGGGGUUUAGCCAAAUCUCUUGGGUCUUUAAGUGGCGUCUUGGGCUAGAUUUUCUUGAGUAAAGAGAUAGCCAUGAGGUUGCACUAUCGGAACUCUCUUGGGUUGCUUCUUAAUUCGCCGACCUUGAUAUUGGUCGAGAAUUUCAUUAUCAUGUGAUAGGUUGAAACAACUACAUAUAGCCUGUUUAGUGUAAGUCAUCCUAUAAUGGCAUUAUACACCGAUGGGGUAUUGACUACAAUAAACUUGGUUUUUAUUAUCUUUUAGCAUGGUUCCUUUCUAAAAGUGAUGUGUAGGUUCACGAUCUUGAGGGGGGAGAUUGAGUCGCCCGUGAAUCUCUUCAUUAAGGAAGUCAUGAGGGUAAGAUCAUUAUUUGUGUCUUAACUUUUGAAAGACAUCAAAGUAGAGAAUAUCAUAACUACUAGAGCAUCAUCAUGAUUUAGAUCGAGGCAUUCUAUCUCCUCCUCUCUAAAGGUUAUUAGUUGGUCACUUAUGGUUCGAGGACAUUUGUCGAUGAUGGCUCGGGCAUAUGCUUUGCGACCCGAGAUGCCGUCUCCUUUGGAGGUUGAGCCAUCGACAAUAAUAUGUCUAUUUGCCUUUCAAUCGGCCCCUAAGGUAGAGGGUGACGGUUCUCAACACUUUCGGAUGAAUCGACCGAGGUGCCCUUAUCGUAUGAGUUCCUCAAUAUGUUCCUUCAGGUCGUGACAAUCUUUAGUGUCGUGGUUGUAAUCAUAGUAGAAGCAAUAAUACUUGGUUUUGCUUCUUUUUUCGAGUAGAGUUCUCAUUGGCUGAUGGUCUAUGAGUAAACUUUCUCUUUUAUAUAUAUGAUUACUUCUGUCCUGGUUAGGUUCAAUGGGGUUAGCUCAGACAUUGGUUGAGACAGAUCAGACUGUUCACCUCUCCUUCGUCGUGAUGUUUGGUCGUUCAUCUUUGUCUUUUGCGAGGUUCCCCAUGCUUGUUCUAAAAUAUAACAUCGGUGAUGAUGUACUGGUUGACUCUUUGAAGUACUUCGGGCAUCAUCGUUAGUGGUCUUUCUACUAACGACUAGAAGAGGUAGAAGUGUUUUAACCCCAUAAUGAAGGACUGGAUCACGAGCAAGGGGUGGACAUUGUCUACACUUCGGAUCUCAUAGGUAAAUCGAUUAACAAAGUUCGUUAGUGUCUCCUCGCCUUGUCUUAAUCCUAGAAGCAUCGCGAUCAUGGGCCUCGGGUGUACAUUCUUGAGGAAGUAGAGCUUAAACUCUUUCACUAGUUGAGCGAGGAACUGACUGAUUGAGGUUUGAGAUGAGCGUACCACUCUCUUGCCGAUCCUUUUAAUGUAGUUGGGAAGGCAUGACACAUUAAGACGUCCGAGAUGUCAUAUAACGACAUAUGCAUCCGAAAGGUUUCCAAUGACAGGAGACAAAAACUGGUGGGAAUUGUUUCUUCCUAUAUGUUCUAAAUGAACGAGGAUCAGGCCGACGUAGAACCGACCUAUCCCUCUCUCUAAAUUAGUGGAAGCUAGGAUGCAUUUCCUCUAAGCGUCGGUCCAUUUGUUAUAAUUAGAUUUUUAGGGAGUCAAUCUUUGAGUCAUUAGAGUGGGUCUCAAACCCUAAUCAUAGCUAAAAGGUGGCAGUGACGCCUGCCAAGUUCUAUGGGUAAAGAACAGCGGGCUUUCUCAGUUGAUGGUUCAAUGGGUCGUGGAUGAGUAAGGGGAGCUGGUAGCCCAUUUGAGGAAAGGCAUAUGAGGAAAGAUGUCUUGAGUUGCAGGCAAUAUUUUAUCCAAAUGUCCGGGAAUAGGAUCGACCCUAGGAUGCUCUUGCAUCAUCGAGCCCUCCUUUCACCAAAAUAUUAGAGAAAUUUAUCGUUGAUGUCUGUAUCAACAUGACGUGGCCCUGAUCCGAGUGCGAUAAGCUGGCCGGGUUAUGUAGGAUCUUUCCAGCCUUGUUCCUCUACAAAGACCAAGGUCGAGGGGGUCCUCCCAAGUCGAUCCCUCCGACGUUCAAGUUAGUGAUCUUGUCCCUUUUUCUCUUCCUUUUGGAAGUUGCGAGUGUCUUUUUAUAUUAACCUCCAGAGAAAGAUGAGUACCCCAUGUAGAUCUCGUGGUGGGGGUAGUUUGUAACCAACCCGAAUUGCCCCUAAAUCUUCUUGGUAACUGAUGGACCGAGCUAACCCCUGAUCUUUUUGAAACAUUCCUAUGGAUAUUUCAUAAGGGAGAUUGAUCUAAAAUUGAUCUGAAACAUCCUUUAAUCUUCCUAAAAUAUUUUUACGGAUAUUUCAUAGAAGAGUUAAUUUGUAAUUGAUUUGAAUUACCUUUUGGUCUUCUUGGGGAGAUAGCUCAGAAUUUUGGUGGCUCGGAGAUUUCCUAGGUCGCUUUUUCAUACCUUGAUUCUUAUGGAUAAGAGAACAUUGGUCCUGAUAUGGUGUUGGCAUAAUAAAUGAUGGUUAGCUGAUCUUAUAUUCCCUAUCAAAUGUAAUUAAAAAAAUUACUAAAUACCAAUUCACAUUUGAAAUGUGCGUUAGGCCCUCAAUGCAUAUUUCAAAUAUGUUCUGAAACAUCCUCUUAGCAUCUAUAUCAAAUAUGAUUUAAAAAAAUUUAUCAAAUACCAAUUCAUAUUUAAAAUAUGCAUUUCAAAGCCUUAAUGCACAUUUCAAACAUGUUUCUAAAUACAACCAUUGAAUGUUAAAUAUAUCUAAUAAAUAAUACAAUAAUUAAAGUUUUUAAAAAUAAAUUUUCAUUUGAAUCAAUCCUAAAUCCCUUGAUCCAUACAAUUUAUUUUUAAGCAUAAAGCCUCAAUCCUCAUAGUUCUAUAAGAAAUUUUAAACAUAUAUAUUGAAGAAUAAUCAUAAUCCAAACCUAAUUGUAUGAAAUUAACUUAAAUUUAGGUUUGAAAAAGAAACUUGAAUCUAGGUUGGGAUUUACCUUGAUUUGGAAAAAAAAUUCAAAUUUUGAUAUUAAAUUUAAUCCUCCUAUAAAUCAACAUAUCUAAAUAAUUAAAUGUUUUGAUAGAGAAUGAGUGAGAGAGAGGAAGUGAGAAGGGAGCUUAUAGGGGUUAUUUAUAGCCAGCCAACAUGGUCUAAAUAACUAGUAUGGUAAUACUAAUACUAGUCAAUUGCAAGCCCUUAUUAGGUCUGGGUGAGGCUUAAGGAAGAGAGAGAUAAUCAAUAGAGAAUUAUAACGAAGCAUCUAUUUGUUGAAUAAUGAUUCUAAUAAUAAUAAUUAUUAUUAAAUUAUAAGUCCUAACUAUUUAAAGUCGAUUUAUAUGUACUUUUACCAUCAUCGGGAUCCAUAAAAUAUCAUAUGUUUAAUUAAGUUUAAAAUAUUUAAAAUUUUAUUUAAAAUUUUUAUUAAAAUAUUUUUGGAUCUUCCUUUUUUCUCUUCUCGUACCAUUGGCAUUGAUCAUUUUACCUCUAGUUAAAUAAUAAUUUUAUUAUCAUAUAUUAAAUAAUAAUUUUAUUAAAAUUUUUUUUAUCGUCAUGUGUUGUAUAUUAAUUCCAUAUAUCAAAAUUAACUAUCCUUGAAAAUCAAACCUUUCAAGAGUCAAUACUAUCAUUUACCUAAAAGAUUAGAGGAGAGAAUUUUUAAAAGAUAACUUUGUUUUUGUUGUAAUUAGUCAAACUUAUUAAGACCCUCGUUAACACACAAGGAUCGUCAAAGAGAAUUUUUGAAAGAUAAAUUUGUUUUUGUUGUAAUUAGACAAACUUAUUAAGACCCUCGUUAACUCGUUAACACACAGAGACCGUCAAGGAGAAUUUUUGAAAGAUAACUUUAUUUUUGUUGUAAUUAGUCAAACUUAUUAAGACCCUCAUUAACACACAGGGACCGUCAACCGUUGAGUCGGAUUGAUUGGUUCAUUGUCGAAAAUGUGUCCCUUUUGAUGACUCAUCCUAUCUGACGUGGAGAGCAAGCAUUGCGAGAAGGACGAAGGAAUCUGUAGGGAGAGGCGGUUCGCCGGGAGCGGCUUAAUCUUCAAGCGGUAAAGCUUGGUUUAGGAUCUAGGUGGUACUCUCUACUGGGUAGCCUAUUAGCCAUGCCUCUAGGCUACGUUGAUAACCCUGUACAACAUGCCUGCGCUGGGAGUGUCUCGACUCGAUCCUUCCGAUGUUCAAGUCUGGAAAAUGAAGAGGAAGGAAGACAACAAUAUCAAUAGCAUAAACGAGUGAGUAAAGAGUUUGUUUUGCCUGCUUGCCUCGGGGCUUGGCUUUUAUACCUGGGUGUUGGGUGGAGCAAACGGGUCUCUGUUACGACCCCUCUUACCAUGCAUGGUGGAGGCAUUUAAUGCAAGCGGCUUGCUGGUGUGUGCCCCCACGUACGACUCUUGGGGAUUAUCGAGAUGAGGCCUCUGGUUUGUCUUCCUUCUUUAGGUCAAGCAGGGCGUGGUCCCUUCAUCGUUCGUCUAAAAGGGAAGGCUGGUGAAGCCGGACCUUCUUGCCGACCAUUAAUGCAGAGUCAAGUUCUCUUUCCCAACUACAGGAUCGGUGAGGAGUGGGUUUCCUGCAAGGAUUAAAAUUUUGUACCGUACCGAAGUUUCGAGCUUUGCUCGGUACGAUACAAUACUGUGUACCGAGCGACAUACCUAAUUUAAACGUAAAAUCCUCUGAAAAUACCUGAAAAUAAAAAAAAAGUUAGGAUAAGAUUUUUAAGUUAGAAGUAAAUAUAGUAAUUGUAUAAGUUUAGCAAAAUCAAUGUAAAUUAGGUAAGAAUAGUAUCAUAUAAGUUUAGCAAAAUCAAUGUAAAUAAGGUAAGAAUAGUAUCACUUAUCUUUUUUAGACUUUGAGGAAUAGUUUUAUGCAAGGUUCGUAUUUCGAUCUAUUACGGAUUGUCUUUAUGUAAAUAUUGAAAUAUGUACAUAAAAAUCAUUUAAAUUGUUAGAUUAUUUUGUUACAAUAUAAAUUUUAAAGUUUAAAUAAAUUAAAUAAUCACAUAUGUAGAUAUACUUGAUUAUUGAUUCUACCACCAAAACGAACGACGGGCCUCCACGGGUGGUGGAUCGGGAUCCUCGAUCCUAUACAUCUGCAUAUCAAUAUGAUAUGUUUAUUGGACUCAAUCAUGAAAUUGAUCGCAUGACAUAGUGUAUUGAUAUACCAUAUGUCAUUGGUGCAUUAAUGUGGUGAUGAUCGUAAGUUGAUCGUCAUGAAUCAUAUUUGUUCGAUGCGACUAUUGAGGCAUAUAUUGGUGAAUGUCAGAGCUUCAGCUUUCGCUAUUGAUCUGUUACUCUGUAUCAUACUAUUGCUCGGAGAAGUAUGACCAACUAUCACUGUAUUGCUAUUGGUUGUAUGAUUCUCCAUAAUACGAUGGUUGUGAAUAUGAUGAUCUAUAUCUACAUCAUGUAGGCUCUGUCAUAUCUAUUCAAAUUUAUCCACUUCCUUUCGCUUUCCCUUCCCCUUUCACACAUAAACUUGAUCAGUACCUUAUCGAGUUCCUUGAUCUAAAUCUUGGGUGGCAUGUGUAAAAUAUUGCUCCUUGGUCCAUGCACCACCCUUAAGUUGUGUAGAUGAGACCAAUGAUUGUCCGGUAUCGUUGUUAUCAUCCGUGGAGGCACUGUUGUCCGUGUUGCUGUCAUGUCUUUGGACCGAUCGAGUUGCUGAAUGUAAUUAUGAAGGUGUUUCGUCACCUGACUUGAUUCUUUCCAAUGAUGCGGCUAAUGCUACUACCUUUCCCUUUGCCUUUGCACGUUGGGCGGACAACUGUGACCGUGGGUGUCUGUAGUUUCUCGAGCAGUUUGACUCAAUGUUAUUUGACUCCUACCACCAUGUUGUGAUCGAGGGGGAUUUUUCACCUAUUGGGGUUGUGUUUCCUCUUCCUCUAUUACCUCGGUGAUAAAACGUGAAGGACGUUGAGGAUCUCCCACCUAAUCAAGUAGAGGAUCCUCUUAGUUCUCUGCCACUUCGACCCACUCUAACAUCGGCUCUGAAUCUUCGUUAUAGAAUUGGACGUCGAUGGGAUCAAUAUCUGGUUCCUCUUAUUCAGCUUAGUACAUCGUAACCUUGGUCGAUGUUAUAAUGAACAUAUAUCAGUUUCUCUAACUGUCUAUAUGAGAGUUUGUUGUGGACCUUUAUGUGAAUCAAUGCAAACAUUGACCAAUUACGUUCGCAACCACUAGUUGUCGUCUAUACAAGUACACGAACGACAACCUUUCUUAAAUGUGGUGCAUCCUCUCUAAAUUGUAGCUAUCACUUGACUGUAAAAAGAUAUAAAUAAGAUUUUAUUAACAUAAUAAAUAAUUAAUAUCAAAUAUAAUUGAUAGUCAAUAUGUGUAACUUUUCCUCACUAGGAUCCAUAGUGUAACGACAUGAUACAGCUACAAUAUCGGAGAAUAAACGAGCUAUUUCUCGAAAUAAUCAACCCUCUAUAAGAUCAUCGGUUGUAUCAGUAGUGUUUGGCAAGAGCCGAUAUAUAACAUUUUAUAGUGCCGUUAGUAAAUCAUUUUGCGUUCCGAGAGCAUACCGAUAUUGAAUUGUUGGGUUUAGAUAAUACGCUACAAGACAUAAUUUUGUUAGUAUGAUUUUUUAUUAUAUAAGAAAUAAUAAAUUAAAUUAUUCUGAAUAUGAAUUUACCUGCAUUAUGGAUAUCUUGAUCCAUAUGAACUUCAGUCCAACGAUCAAUGAUCCGUACGUAUUGGUCGACCUUAAAAUCAUCUUUGAAUGCUUUCUUGACCUUCUCUCUUGCUGAAACAAUAUAUAUUUAAGAUACUUGUUCAUAUCAACCUUAUGGAGAAUAAUAUAAAGUGGUUUCACACCUUUUAUGAUUUCAGCCUAGUCUCCCAAAAUCUAGAGGAAAGAAUGGACUUUUCUAUCUUCUUUCCAUCGCUCAAUCUCGAAUAUCUGGAAUUAGAUCACUCUUGUAAAGUGAUCAUUAUCUUCAAGUCAUGCCUUUUUUACUAUAAUGACUUUAUGCAAUAAAAUUAGUAUGUAACCGAGUGACUCCAGGUCGGAGUAUCUCACCGUUUAUAUACUUUUGUAUGAAAGUAUGGGCUCAAUAAUGAUUAUAUAUAAACUUUGUAAUUGAUUGUGCUCAAACUACACAAUUCUUGACCGUGUCCAGCGUACCAAUAUUGUUUAGUAUUAGAUCUAUGCAAUAAGCUAUAUAUGGAGUCUAAAAUAAUAUUUUUUUCCAUCAAUUACAAACUGGCCUUCUUGAAAUUCGCUCCAUUGGUGGUUACUAUUUGGAUAUCAUAUUAUGGUUUGAUCUCCUCUAUUUUAGUGUCCAUCAAGCUCUAAAUAUAUCCUGUAUCUUGGAUAUUUUCAAAAGCAUUAGCUAACUUAUAAAACACCACCCUUCUGUUGUAAUAAAUACGAAAGUUGAUGAUACUCAUUUUUGUUGGUCCUGUCCAAGUGUCAUACAUUAGUGUCACCUCAUAUUCAUCACAUUAUCUCUCGAAGGAUUUGAUCCAAUCCUUUAAUUUUGCCAACUUCUCAUCUAAGUACACGUCGUGAAUCUCCCUCGGUGUUGGAGGUUGGAUCCCCAUGCCAGACUUUGAAUAGAUAAGACCAUACUCUGAUAAUGACCUUGGGCUGUGUUGGCUGGAAUCUUAUGGAAGUUGAACUAUUUUGAAAUUGUUUUCUUAAUAUCUCAUUUUUUUCUUGUGUAUACAUCAUCAAUCCAUGUCUAUUUCGUUAUUUGUGGGGGAUAGGCUUGCGGAUCAAUAUCUACAAUAUUUGGUGUAGACAUCUUACCAAGACCUCACAUAAAAUCACGGAGUUCACCNNNNNNNNNNNNNNNNNNNNNNNNNNNNNNNNNNNNNNNNNNNNNNNNNNNNNNNNNNNNNNNNNNNNNNNNNNNNNNNNNNNNNNNNNNNNNNNNNNNNNNNNNNNNNNNNNNNNNNNNNNNNNNNNNNNNNNNNNNNNNNNNNNNNNNNNNNNNNNNNNNNNNNNNNNNNNNNNNNNNNNNNNNNNNNNNNNNNNNNNNNNNNNNNNACCUUUGAAUUCCACUACCACUGCCAUGCUCCUCAUCUAAGUACAUGCCGUGAAUCUCUCUUGGUGUUGGAGGUUGGAUCCCCAUGCUAGACUUUGAAUAGAUAAGACCAUACUCUGAUAAUAUGGACCUUGGGCUGUGUUGGAUGGAAUCUUGUGGAAGUUAAACUAUUUUUAAAUUAUUUUUCUAAUAUUUCACUUUUUUCUUUUGUGUAUACAUCAUCAAUCUAUGUCUAUUUCGCUAUUUGUGGGGAAUAGGCUUGCGGAUCAAUAUCAAUAAUAUUUAGUGUAAGCAUCUUACCAAGACCUCACAUAAAACCACAUAGUUCACCAGACCACAUGUUACUAGUUUUGCCUAACUGAGGAGGAGCAGUUGGCUGCCUCAUGCUAGCCGACCUUUGGAUUCCACUACCACUGCCAUGCUCCAAUUAUCGAUGCCUCAUUGUUUCAUCGACCAUAUACUGCUACAUCCAAUGAUGCACGAUCUCAACUGUGAGAUCCGAGUCGACUUCAUCGCCAUAGCCCACAUAUUUAUCAUAAAUUGGUUCCUGCGUAGUCCUAUAAUAUUCUUUCUCAACUCUUGCCUUCUUUUUUAAUGUAUCUUCCUUUGCUUGUUGUAGCUUGCUUUGAAAUAAUUUAUGGAUCUCCAUCGGAAUCUUCUUGCAUUUUGUAACAUCAGGAUACCGACCGACCAAAUACAUCUUCACCCGAAUUAUUCCUCCACCCUUGUCAAUGUAGCCACAAUAAAUACAUUGUUAAUGAUAACGAUUCUCAUCUAUCUUUCGGGCAUAAACCCAUGCAUCAUCAUAUUGUUCUCCUUUGGUGUCAUGAUCCUAUCAAAUUUAAAUCAAAUGUUAUAAAAUAUAAAUAUAUUGAAUUUAUCUAAUAUCGAUAAAAAAUCAUUAAUUAUAAUAUUAAAUAAUUUUAUUAAAACAUAACAAAUCUUAUUUUACCAUCAUAAACAUGUGAAACACAUAAAAAAAAUAUUAAAUAUGUAAUUUUGAUUCAAUAUAGGUCAAAUUAUAAUAAAAUCAUCAUUAGAUAUACUAAUCAUAUGAUUAAUAUAAUUAAUUAUCCACUAAUUACUUACCCUAAUAUAUAUUAAAGAUAUUGAAUUGACCUAAAAUCAAUCAAAUUUUAAUUAAAUUAUCAUUAAAAUAACUUAAUCAUAGUAUUAAACUACUUUAAUAAAACCUAACUAAAUCUAUUUUACCAUCAUAAAUAUAUGAAACACAUAAAAAAAUAUUAAAUAUAUAAUUUUAAUCUAAUAUACAUCAAAUUAUGAUGAAAUCAUCGUUAAAUACACUAAUCAUAUAAUUAACAUAAUUAAUUACUCAUUAAUUACUUCUCUUUCAACACUAUAAAUAUGUCAAACACCUUAAUAUGUAUUAAAGAUAUUGAAUUGAUUCAAAAUCGAUCAUAUUUCGAUUAAAUCAUCAUUAAAAUCACUAAUUACAGUGUUAAAUAACUUUAAUAACAUGUAAUUAAACCUAUUUUACCAUUAUAAAUAUCUUAUAAUAUUUAAUAUACAUAAAAUAUAAAUAUUUAACUAAUUAAGUGUCUAAUUUCGAAGUAAUCAAUAUUAAUCAUACUAAUCAUAAUAUUAAAAAUCUUAAUUACUCUAAUUAGAAAAUUAGAAUGCAUGUCUCUUGAUUAAAAAAUUUUUCUUAAUCUUUCCUAAUUAGCUUUGAUUCAAUUCACAAAUCGUUGUUUGUAAAAUUUAGGAGAGUGAAAAUAUGAGAAAAAAUGAGUUUGAGGUAGUUUAAGAUAGUAUGAGAGUGAAAUAGGGGAGAAGAUAUGUUUAAAAGCCUAUGAGAAAGGGCUCCAAUGGUCACUGUUACAGAUCGGUAAUGAAGUCGAUUUCGACUGUUACUGAGCUGUGCCAAGUGGUAACGAUCGAAAUCGACCAUUAUCGAGUUGUAUCGAGCGGUAACGGUCGAAAUUUUGACCAUUAUCGCCCAAUAUACCCUCGUAUCGUCCGAUACGAGACGUUAUUGAGCAUUCCGCUCGGUAACGAGCAAUCUGCGUACUAGUGUGCUAUCAGACCAGUACGUUCCACCCGUACCGAAUGGUAUUAUUCGAAAUUAAAAAACUUAGUCUCAUGGGCCCAUUUCGAGAAGCUGGGGCAAGCAACGUGACCUCCUGUUGGCAGUCAUAGGGAGUAGGUGGUACCCGAGCUUUUGCUUAGGUAUUGCUUACGUGGCGAGGGAAGUUGGGGAAUGUUAGGAUUAUCCCUAUCAACCCUAAAUUUAUUUUUGUUGCUAUCAACACUAGACCUGUGUCAUCCAACCAAAAUGGGUUUGAUCUAUUUAAGCAUACCGUGAAACCAGGGUUUGCGAUUUCGAAUCGUACCACUUGAUACGGGCGGUACAAAUCGAUCCACCCAUAUAGGGUGGUACGAAUCAGUCCACCCAUGAACUAGUAUGCGGACCGCGCACUAACGGGCGGUCCACUCGAUAAAGCCCCAUAUCGGACGAUAUAAGGUUGUUUCGAGUGGUAAUUGUCGAUUUCGACUAUAAUUGCCCGUUACCGGGCGAUAUUAGCCUGGUUGUGGUGAGGGAAGAAGAAGCAUCCAAGGAGAAGGAAAAAGAAAGAGAGCAUUCGAAGAAGAGGGAGAACCUCGAUGUAUCCCGAUUCGGCAUCGCUCUCCCUCAACGAUCCUGAUCCAGAAGGUAAUAGCCAAGCGGCGGCUAGAGUAACGGAAGAGGCGAUCUCCUUCAUCGCCUCGUCUGUGAUUCUGCAGCUUUUUCUUUGGUGCGUUCUUCACCGAAGGCUGGAGUCUUUGGUGCGUUCUUCGCCGAAGGCUGGAGACUCCUGCACCCUUCGUCGCCUUCUUCAUCAAACGCCGCAAAUGAGGAGAUGAAGGAGACCAUGUUCUUCUACUCGUCUGAGGCCAUAUAUUGCUCGUAUUGUAUCGUACCGAGCAAAGCUCGGUAUAUCGAUACACUAUGAAAUUUCAAUUGGUUGAAACGUAUCUUGAAUUGUUUAUGGAGGAAGAAGAAAAGGAGAAGGCAUGGAGGAGAGGUGUACUAGAGUGGAAGAUGGAUGAUGGCUCUACUGGCCUCCUUGCAAGCGCAAGGAGCCAUGUCCUAGGAAACCUUCAUAAAAAUUUAAAAAAAUAUAUCUGCAAAAAUCCCAGUCUCAUGUAUUAUCAUGCAGGUGAAAUGUUCAUUCCAAUCAAAAUUAAGGACUGCAUAGAAAAUUACAUAAUACAUGAAUCUCCAUGAAUAAAUACUAAAAGGGAUUAGUAGCUUAUAAACGCUUUGUUAUAAUCAAUAUGGGCAUUAUCCUUUACCAUAACUUAAUGUUUGGCAAAGAAUAGUAGGUCAGGUUAGAGUGCCCAUCUAAAUAAUCUUUAGAGCUUACGUGCCUUGGCUACUAGUCUCUUUUGGGAUGGCAGGAAUAAAUACAAGUUGUUGGGUUACAUUGACCAGCAGGAGAUAAUAGAAAUUUGCAAGUUGGAAAGGGAAAGCCAAGAUAUUGUAAUUACAUGAUGUAAGCCUUGCAAAUAAAUAAGAACUUUGUAUUUAGUAUUGUUGACAAGGACUAUGUUAUAGCACCAUUGACAUGUCGGCUUGUUAUUAGAAUGGUUCACGACAACCACCAAGCAUACCUUGGCGAUGAGUGAUGAAAGGAGAAAUACAAACAAAAAGGAAGGACAACUCUUUGUGCAAAUAUCGGAUCUUUAUCAUUCUAGAAAAAAUAAUAUCCAAAAAAGAAAUUGAAAGUGGCAGAACAAAAAGAUCUAAGAAACGAUUUAAAGCUAUCUAAGAUAGAAUAAGAAGCUUACAAUUCACAACACUUUUUACUAUUAACAACCCUUUACUAUUUAUAGUCCCAAUAUUAUCAUUUUUUUCUUUUUUUUCUCACAACCCCUUAUUCCAUCCUCGUUGCUAUUUAUUGUUGUCUAAUCCUGCUUGUCGCCCCCUCAAUGCCUUUCUCUUAUGAGGAGGAAGAAUAAGAAGAGGAGGACGUGGAGGAAGAAGGGGAAGGGGAGAAGGAAGAAGAGAAGAGUAUUUAUGGUCAUGUGCAAAGAGAUAAUUUAAAAAUAUUAAAAAGUUUUAAAAUGAGUGUGAAUAUUAAAAAAAGAUUAUAAAUAGUAAUCUCCUAGAAUAAUAUAAGGAGGAAAGGAGGAUAAUAUCAACUAUUAAGUCAAAAAGAUACUCAAAUUUUCAUUAACUAAAUUCCUAUUAAUGACAUGUUCCUUAACAAAGACAAUUUAAUAGGAGAGAAAAGAAACAAUAAUUAUCACAUGAACUAAUUUUUACUUUUUUUCUUAAUCAUAAAAUUUAAUACAAUAUGUAAAAAUUUAAUAUUCAUUGCUACUAUAUUGGUACAAAUGAAUAUACGAACUCCAUAGUAAUAUAAAAUAGAGAAAAGGAGAGGAAAAUGAGAAUAUAACGACUUUGGGGGAUGAAGAGGAAGAAGUGGAGACGUAGAAGGAAGUAUAUCGGUAAAAAGUUCCAGAGACAAAAUCCUGAAUGGGGUGGGAGCAUCAAUUAUGUGGUGGAGCAGAGUAGUAAGAAAUAAUGAUACAAAGGAGGUGUAGGAAAUAAGAGAGUAAGCACAUUAAAGAGAGAGAGAAAAAGAAAAGAUAAUUGUCACAUCUAUCUAAAAUAAAAAAGAAUUGAUUUUGAUAUAAAUCAAUAACUCUACCGAUAGGUCCAUGGUCAGGUACAAUUUAUUUCUAAUAUGCUUGCUUUCAAUAUUUUAAAACAUGUUUCAAUAACAUCAAUAUUGAUUUGAUACCUAUUUAUUAUCAUAUUUGUCACACCCAACAUUCGUAAUUUCAUGUAUCAUAUUUGUCAAGGUUCGGAUUGGUACCAUAGUAGUUCAUACCAAUAUUCUAUGUGUUGGUACAUCAUUCUGUAUCAGACUUCAAAAGAUCCUAAAAAGAAGAUUGAAAAACAAAAAAAUUCUCAAUACAAAGACUGUAUCUGGUACAAAUCCUAUAUAGUGUAAAACAAAAAAAAUUCUCAAAGGAAAACUGUAUCAUGGUACAAAUCCUAUAUAGUGUAUCAAAUGAUACAGGGCUAUAAAAUAUAUUGGGCAAUACAAACCCGAUACUAUGUACCAAUUUGAUUUUCUUAAACCCAUGUAUCAAUUGGUUGUUGAAACUGUAAUUAUCAACCCGAAUGGGAUGAUAUUGUGAACCAGGAUCCUAUCUGCAUGUAUCAGGUGUACUUAUACCAACUAGUCAUGUUAUAUAGAUCCAUGUGAUACAUCAUGUUGCUAAUAGGAUGGUUAAAAUAAAAAAAGCAUGCAGUUCUUGUGCAUUAGGCAGCUUAAAGCCAGCUAUAUUUCAUACUAUUCUUGGAUAGUCAGAAAGUACUUCCCGAUAUUUUUUUUAAGUUUACAAGGUACUACAGCACAUAUGCAAUUGGUAAAGGUUCAGAACAAAACUUUUACCAUGUUGGGUGGAUGCACAAUGAAUGCUGAUAUCCGAAUGACUUUCUGGUUUGAAUGGUUUUUUUUAUUCUUUUGCAGUUUGUUUAUCAUUUUUUUUUUUGUUUCUCUUUUCUUUUUGUUAGUGUUCUCUUUUCUCUUUGAUGUCUAUUCUAUUGUUCUGCACUUAUUGUUUCUCUUCUAGUAUCAUCUUUGCCUGAUUUCAUUUCUCAUCCUGUAUAAUGAAUUCCUAGUGCAGCUGUACAGAUUUCCUUCCAAUUGUCUUUAAGAGAAAUAGAGAUGAGGACGUUCUAUGAAUGUCUAUGUUACAAGAAAAGGGUUCACACUGUGAAAAGCUACGGAUGUUACAGUGAAGAACAAAAUAAAUGAAUUAACUCCAUUUGUGCAGUGGACUGAAAAGCUAACAAAUGCACCGAUAAAUUUAGAUUCAAACAUUUUAAAAUUUUCUGCCAGACAAUUCAUGUUAUAUAAAUUUUUUUAUAUAAACUAUCAAGCAAUGGUCUAAUCUACCAAUAAGGGAAGUUUUAAUUGACCUAAUGGAAACUAUAACCUAACUGGAAUAUUAGCACCGCUUCACCUGAUCAAACCUUGAGUGGAUACCAAAUAUGUUUGUUCUAAACUUUGUUUGCUGGUUUUUACUUGAUCUAUGAGUGUAAAAUUUAAAUAAAUUAAAUAAUCAAUCGAUGGAUAUACUUGAUUCUACCACAAAAAAGAAUGACAGAAUUCCACAGGCGAUGAAUCAGAGUCUUGAAUCCUUUGUAUCGGUAUAUCAAUUUGAUAUGUUUGUCAGACUUAAUUCAAAUUAAUCCCACGAUAUAAUAUACUCAUACACUGUAUGUCAUUGGUGCAUCAAUGUAGUGAUGGUCAUAAUUUGAUCGUCGUGAACCAUACGUGUUCAAGGCGACUCCUAAGGUAAGUACAAUUGUGCCAUGUAUUAUUGCAAAAUAUGGAGAGUGCCAGAACUUCUACUUUUGCCACUGAUCUAUUGCUUCGUAUCAUAAGAUCGCAUAGUACUAUUUCUUGGAGAAGAAUGACUAGUUAUCAUCGUUGCUCGAAGAAGAAUGACCAACUAUUAUGUCAUGCUCCAUACUCUGGAUCUUGGGUGGCAUGCUUAAAAUAUUACUUAUCGAUCCAUGCAACACCUUCAAACUAUGUAGAUGGGACCAUCGACUCUCUAAUGUUGCCACCAUCAUCGAUCACGAUACUACUAUACACAUCGCUAUCAUAUCUCAAACCGAGCGAGUUGCUGAAUGUGAUUGAGAAGUUGCCUACGUACCUUUGAUUAGAGAGUUCUUCCUCUAACUUAGGUAUUAAUCUUUCCUAAUUAGCCUCCCAAGUUUGAUCUAAUUCAUAAAUCAUAGUUUUGUGAAGUUUUAAGAGAGUGCAAAUGUGAAAAUAAGAUAAA